UACAGAGGUCCCAAGCGUUGUUCGGAUUCACUGGGCGUAAAGGGUGCGUAGGCGGUCGGGUAAGUCUGAUGUGAAAUCUCACAGCUUAACUGUGAAACUGCAUUGGAUACUAUCCGGCUCGAGGAAUGGAGGGGAGACUGGAAUACUUGGUGUAGCAGUGAAAUGCGUAGAUAUCAAGAGGAACACCUGAGGUGAAGACGGGUUGCUGGGCCGACACUGACGCUGAGUGCGCGAAAGCCAGGGGAGCAAACGGG
This 254-nucleotide ribosomal RNA is filed under the name uncultured bacterium. Its description in RNAcentral is "partial 16S ribosomal RNA". It matches the Rfam family "Bacterial small subunit ribosomal RNA", at positions 524 to 776 of the family's 1533-position model. The record is from RNAcentral.